CUGAGGUAGACUGGACUAACAACGGAUUAAUCGCUGCUUUUAAAAAAGGAUUAUCCGAAGUUAUGCUUGACGAAAUUGCUGCCAAAGACCUACCUAAGGGGUUAAAUGAAUUUAUUACCUAUGUGAUGCAGAUCGAUAAUAGACACAGGACCAGGGAAAUUACUAGAAACAGAACUAGACGUUUGACUAUGUCACUAGCACCUCGAUUUUCCAAACCUAUUGUCCCUGACCUCUCAUCGCUGUCUGAACCUGAACCUAUGCAGUUAGG
Pelobates cultripes (western spadefoot toad) is the source of this 268-nucleotide non-coding RNA. The record is from the annotation of a GenBank genome assembly. Lineage: Eukaryota; Metazoa; Chordata; Amphibia; Anura; Pelobatidae.